ACGCUCGACACCUACGGGAGGCCGCAGUAGGGAAUCUUCCACAAUGGACGCAAGUCUGAUGGAGCAACGCCGCGUGAGUGAAGAAGGUCUUCGGAUCGUAAAACUCUGUUGUUAGAGAAGAACACGAGUGAGAGUAACUGUUCAUUCGAUGACGGUAUCUAACCAGCAAGUCACGGCUAACUACGUGCGAGCAGCCGCGGUAAUCUGAGCGGGCUGGCAAGGC
This 223-nucleotide ribosomal RNA is filed under the name uncultured bacterium. Its description in RNAcentral is "partial 16S ribosomal RNA". It matches the Rfam family "Bacterial small subunit ribosomal RNA", at positions 328 to 539 of the family's 1533-position model. The record is from RNAcentral.